Salvelinus fontinalis (brook trout) is the source of this 3288-nucleotide long non-coding RNA. RefSeq lists it as uncharacterized. The record is from RefSeq and is a predicted model, not a curated record. Lineage: Eukaryota; Metazoa; Chordata; Actinopteri; Salmoniformes; Salmonidae. The transcript is spliced from 2 exons.
AGCUGAGGGAUGUUUCUAGAGAAAUGUAACCAGUAACCACUCAAAUUCAUUGACAGCUAUGGAUGCAAGGACUUACUUACCAUACACAUUAUACAAAUUAUAGUAUAUACCAUGUUAUGAGGCUAUACAGUGUUUGUUUACAAUUGCAUUGUUUGCAAACAUUGGAGUAAAACACGAUAAUAUCUUGGUUUCUGACAGGGUACGACUGUUCAUGAGGCAUUUAUAAGUUAAAUUCUUCAAAAAAUCUAUGGGUUAUAUUGUAGCGAUGAUCGAUAUACAAUUCCCACAACUGGGGUAACCCUAUUCGUGCGAUGCGUAGGGUUUUUGCCUUUCACACCAGUGAUCCGGGUUUGCUUCCCUGCCGUUUGCCCGUUUCCUACAAUAUCAUGAAUUUAAAAGUCCAAAACGGGAAGUUGCAAAUGCAUAUUGCCCCCUUUAAAAGCCACAUUUACAGUCUUUAUGCUAUUAAAUAAAAUACAUGCAUACAGAAAGCAUCUGUAUUGAUAGUAAAUUUGACAACAGUUCUGUAGAAAAAAAUGCAUACAUUUUAGCAAUCACUAAAAUAUCAAAAUAAUAAUGUAUUAUAUCAAUGCUUGUAAGAGUUGUUUUAGGUUCUGUGAACUAGGCCUAGACACAGUGCACUAUCUGAUAGGUCUAUAUCCAAUUAAUUUCCUUUGCAUCAGGUCAACAUUAAGGGUUAAUUUAUCUCUUGGUUCAUUAUACAGCUGAAGGUUCCAUUUUUGGAAGAAAGGAUGUUAUUGUUGAGAGUAGGUUAAAGGUGACAAGAUAUUUGUAAACAGAAGCAAACAAUUGCUCCACAUUGUGAUGCCCUGAUAUGAAAACAUCCUAUAAAAUCUUCCUUGGCACAAUGUUAAGGACGGGUCAAAGUACGUUGGUAACCUUAGGGGAAGAGAACAUAACAUUUGUGUUUUAUAAUUCCGUUUACAAGUUCCCUUUAAAGUGUCAUUCUGAGCCUCUCGGUUCAACCAAGGGUCAUAUUCACCAGGCACCAAAUAGAAAGUAAAAUGGAAUGAAACAGGGACUACCUGAACUUGUCCACUAAGAAACCAUUGUUUUCAUUUUCCUUUCCAAAACGUUUUGCAAUAGGGUGCACUAAUAAAUUGGACCCAAGAGUCAGCUGACAACAGGUGCACUCACAGCAGAACUGUCCAGUACUGGCCCACAUCUGUUAGGCACACCCAGGAUAAGCCACAACAUGUUAGUCACCACUGCUGUAGCUAUUAUGGCCAGGGUUAUAAGGACACUCAGGAAAUUACCUUCAAAUCAGUUCUGAAUCUGAUGCAGGACUUUGACACAUAUUAGACAUUGUUUGUUAACCCAUGAAAGUUAGCACAAAGUACCUUAAAAUUAACCUCCAGAAAGGUCAAACUCAAUAUAGUAAGGUCAACUGAUGCUCUGUAAUGUUCAUUAUAGGGACAACAAUUAUUCCUCAAAUGCACCUGCAUUUCUCAGAAACACUAGCCAAUGUUGCACAAUCAAUCUAGCUUUAUAAAUUGUCGUUUGUCACUUCAUCAAUUGACGUAUGUUUCAAUCACAGGUGAACUGUUGACAGAUGUUCCUGUCCUGUGUUCUAAUUCUAAUUAUGAACUCUGAUUAUACUUUGAGCAAACCAAUACAUUUUUAUGACUGGUUUAUGUAAGUGUGCAAGCUCUCUCCCAAUCCAAAAAAAGAUCAAUCAAAUAACAUGUUGUGUCCUAAGCCAGCAUAGUAUUGAUUGCAGGUGUGGUGUACACUUAACAUAACUGUACACAUAGUGUCACCUAUCACACACUUUAUGGACUGUUGCUUGCUGCUGUGCAAAGUGCACUGGGCCAAUGAACUUUCAAAUGGAGGCCAAGAGAAUAUCCCUAAUUGAUAUGUUCUAUUAUUAUAAGGAUAUAACUGUCUAGUAUUUUAUGCAUCAAUACUUCAGAUAUUUAUGAGGAUAUUUUUAUUCCACAAAAUAGUAUAGUGUUAGUAUCUCUGGUCCUUAUGAACCUUAACUUGGGUCUUUGGGCACCCAUUGUCAGUGAGGGCCAAGGGAAUCUCAAAAAUGCAUUUUUGGAUGCAUGCUUUUUUUCUAGGCCCACCCCACAAAUGACCAAUUAUAUAAUAUGUAUUUCUAAAAAUAGAAUAUACUGUAUGUAUGUAGCCUAAGCAAUAGCUUUAGGAUGUGGUGAGUCAGUGGUCUGCUCUAUUCACAAACAACAAUAUUUUGCUAUGGUAACCGUUGACUGAAGUUCACUGUACAAAUGGAAUAACAAUAGCACAAUCUGAUUACAUGCAAAUAAGGACAUAUCACUGUGUUCCUUCCAAGGGAAUUAGCCUACAAUGAUAAACAGCUGCCUAUCUGAUUUCAGUUCAAUCUGUAAGGACGUAUCUAACAUAGGUUUGAAAAUGACUGUAAAAACAGCAGGUGAUGGGAGGUGGGACUAGCACAGGGGGUAUCCACAACUUACAUCACCAUCAUUAAGGCUAUAUAAUGGAGUGAACUUCUAACAUUAGCAGAAGACUCACUGACUGACAAGCCAUACACAGCUGAACACAUUUGCAUACUGUCUACUCUGUACCACAAGUACAAACAGAACUCUUGAAGAACACAACAAAGAAACAGAAAGCAAGCUCAAAUCAAUAUGACUGGACAAGAUCUAACUGCCAUUCUGGACUGUGCGCAUCAGCUGCGUAAAGUUGGAGACGUCCUUGCUAGUGACACCCUGGACUGGAGAUCCAAAUUAUUGGAAAUAUUGACAAAACAUUACAAGAAUAUAAUCAAAGUCAAGUGAGGGAGUUCAACCCACUCAGUGAAGAUCACAUUCUAUCUCAGUCCGCGGUUUUGGUAGCUGUGCAGCAGUCCCGCCUGGUCGUUCAGAGGUGCAUUUGUGGCCACCUGAGAUGAAAUCAAGAGGACAGUCUGCCUGGACCUGCCCCACAAUCCAAUGGCAAAGUGUCCAGUGCUCACCUCCCCACCAUGUCAAUGGAGAGUGAAAAGGAUCAGUAACAUUGUGCAAUGGCAAAACCAAUGGACCUCUGCUGGUUUGUCGUUGGGACAUUUGGUAGCCCGAUGGGCAGCCAUUCACAUGGACGUCAAACGCGAACAUGGGAACCAGAGCUGACAGGAACGAUCCUACAAGAAAGUACGAUGACAAAGGAGGAUUAUCAGUUGUUGGGGAAAUGUUUUGGAUUAUGGAAACAUGACUUUGAAGUGCUCUGAUGCCUUAUGUGAGGCUUACAUUCAUUUUGUUUUAAUGAAUUGUGCCAAGAGCGAUUAAACGUUUUCAAAAUCUGCAA